Molecule: long non-coding RNA, 434 nt
Filed under: Gallus gallus (chicken)
Lineage: Eukaryota; Metazoa; Chordata; Aves; Galliformes; Phasianidae
Description: long non-coding RNA NONGGAT008251
Source: RNAcentral
GGAUCCUCAUCGCUGCCUUUGAGGGGAGCCGCCUGACCUCAACAUGAGCCCAGCAGUCAUACCGCAGUGCUCUUGGCACUAAGAAAUAAGGGCAAAUGAAACAAGCUGUAGUUCACGGUGUAUAAUCACCUCAGUUUACCAAAGGAGAGGGAGGACGGAUCAAAGGAUGGAAAAAGAGACCUUCCAAGUUCAGCAUUCAGCAUCUCCACUUCAUAUGUUCACGUGGAAAAGCACCGAGACACCACUCCGGGGAGUACACAAUCACUAAUUACCAACAACCAGCAUAAUAGCACCCUGAUCUCUGGGACCUACCGCGACACAAAGAACUCAUAAUCAUCACAAGUCUUUCGUUCUGAUGCAUGAUCAGCAAGAACUAUGAAUGCUAACAUAUGCUGAAAGUUAAUUUAGAGUCUUUGAAAGAAAAUAAAAGCCUG